Molecule: ribosomal RNA, 880 nt
Filed under: uncultured bacterium
Lineage: Bacteria
Description: bacterial SSU rRNA
Rfam family: Bacterial small subunit ribosomal RNA
Source: RNAcentral
UCAGGACGAACGCUGGCGGCGCGCUUCAUACAUGCAAGUCGAACGUGAAGCCCGGAGCUUGCUCUGGGUGGAAAGUGGCGAACGGGUGAGGAACACGUGAGGAACCUGCCCCGAAGACCGGGAUAACACCGGGAAACCGGUGCUAAUACCGGAUGCCCUCAUCGGAGCUCAUGCUCCGAUGAGGAAAUGGAUUCCGCUUCGGGAUGGCCUCGCGGCCUAUCAGCUUGUUGGUGGGGUAACGGCCCACCAAGGCUUCGACGGGUAGCUGGUCUGAGAGGAUGUCCAGCCACACUGGGACUGAGACACGGCCCAGACUCCUACGGGAGGCAGCAGUAGGGAAUCUUGCGCGAUGAGCGAAAGCUUGACGCAGCGACGCCGCGUGCGGGAUGAAGGCCCUCGGGUCGUAAACCGCUUUCAGCAGGGACGAAACUGACGGUACCUGCAGAAGAAGCCCCGGCCAACUACGUGCCAGCAGCCGCGGUAAUACGUAAGGGGCAAGCGUUGUCCGGAUUUAUUGGGCGUAAAGAGCUCGUAGGCGGUUCGACAAGCCGACGGUGAAAUCUCCACGCUCAACGUGGAGGGGUCCGUCGGAACUGUCGUGACUAGAGUCCGGUAGGGGAGUGUGGAAUUUCCGGUGUAGCGGUGAAAUGCGCAGAGAUCGGAAGGAACGCCCGUAGCGAAGGCGGCACUCUGGGCCGGUACAGACGCUGAGGAGCGAAAGCGUGGGGAGCAAACAGGAUUAGGUACCCUGGUAGUCCACGCCGUAAACGUUGGGCACUAGGUGUGGGGCUCUAUCAACGGGCUCCGUGCCGUAGCUAACGCAUUAAGUGCCCCGCCUGGGGAGUACGGCCGCAAGGCUAAAACUCAAAUGAAUUGACGG